GGCGGAUUGUAUAGGAACGUCUAAUUCCAAUUUCUCCAAUGUCUUCAAGUCUGACAUUGUUUUAUCCGAGAUCACUUUUGUCCGUUUACUUUUAGUUGUACUUUUAAUGCAAAGAUGUUUUAGAGAGAUUAACGGGAUAAAAGCACCGUUUGGAAACAUUGUAUACGCUAUUGGGUUGUCAUUUAAGUUUAAUACUUUGAGUUUCCCUAAUCCC
Molecule: long non-coding RNA, 214 nt
Filed under: Mytilus galloprovincialis (Mediterranean mussel)
Lineage: Eukaryota; Metazoa; Mollusca; Bivalvia; Mytilida; Mytilidae
Source: RNAcentral